RNAcentral lists this ribosomal RNA (433 nucleotides) under uncultured bacterium. Its description in RNAcentral is "partial 16S ribosomal RNA". It matches the Rfam family "Bacterial small subunit ribosomal RNA", at positions 29 to 507 of the family's 1533-position model. The record is from RNAcentral.
AACGAACGCUGGCGGCAUGCCUAACACAUGCAAGUCGAACGAGACCUUCGUGCCUAGUGGCGCACGUGUGCGUAACGCGUGGGAACCUGCCCUUAGGUUCGGAAUAACUCCCCGAAAGGGGUGCUAAUACCGCAUAAUGUCUUCGGACCAAGGAUUUAUCGCCUUUGGAUGGGCCCGCGUUGGAUUAGCUAGUUGGUAGGGUAAAAGCCUACCAAGGCGACGAUCCAUAGCUGGUCUGAGAGGAUGAUCAGCCACACUGGGACUGAGACACGGCCCAGACUCCUACGGGAGGCAGCAGUGGGGAAUAUUGGACAAUGGGCGAAAGCCUGAUCCAGCAAUGCCGCGUGAGUGAUGAAGGCCUUAGGGUUGUAAAGCUCUUUUACCCGGGAUGAUAAUGACAGUACCGGGAGAAUAAGCUCCGGCUAACUCCGUG